Molecule: unclassified non-coding RNA, 336 nt
Filed under: soil metagenome
Description: partial contains 5.8S ribosomal RNA, internal transcribed spacer 2, and large subunit ribosomal RNA
Rfam family: 5.8S ribosomal RNA (bases 1-120)
Source: RNAcentral
GAUGAAGAACGUAGCGAAAUGCGAUAAGUAGUGUGAAUUGCAGAAUUCAGUGAAUCAUCGAAUCUUUGAACGCACAUUGCGCCCCUUGGUAUUCCAUGGGGCAUGCCUGUUCGAGCGUCAUUUGUACCUUCAAGCUUUGCUUGGCGUUGGGUGUUUGUCUCGCCUUUGCGUGUAGACUCGCCUUAAAAUAAUUGGCAGCCGGCGUAUUGAUUUCGGAGCGCAGUACAUCUCGCGCUUUGCACUCAUAACGACAGCGUCCAAAAGUACAUUUUACACUCUUGACCUCGGAUCAGGUAGGGAUACCCGCUGAACUUAAGCAUAUCAAUAAGCGGAGGA